Molecule: transfer RNA, 72 nt
Filed under: Arabidopsis thaliana (thale cress)
Lineage: Eukaryota; Viridiplantae; Streptophyta; Magnoliopsida; Brassicales; Brassicaceae
Also listed under: 2 other names
Description: tRNA-Arg
Rfam family: tRNA
About the family: Transfer RNA (tRNA) molecules are approximately 80 nucleotides in length. Their secondary structure includes four short double-helical elements and three loops (D, anti-codon, and T loops).
Source: RNAcentral
GCGUCCAUUGUCUAAUGGAUAGGACAUAGGUUUUCUAAACCUUUGGUAUAGGUUCAAAUCCUAUUGGACGCA